This is a long non-coding RNA of Pistacia vera, 2238 nucleotides long. RefSeq lists it as uncharacterized. The record is from RefSeq and is a predicted model, not a curated record. The transcript has 2 exons. Lineage: Eukaryota; Viridiplantae; Streptophyta; Magnoliopsida; Sapindales; Anacardiaceae.
UUUACUAUCUUUUUCUUUUUCUAUUUUUCAGAAAUAGCUGUUUUAUGCUUUGGCACGGAUUUUUCAUGCCACGACACAAAAAGUGACCACACAGCAGAAACUUUAUGCUGGGGCAUGGCAACUAAUUGACUCUGCGACACAAUAUUUCCAUGCUGCGGCACAAAAAUGCCCUCCAAGACAGAAACUUAAUGCCGCGGCGUGACAAUUUUAUGCGCCGUGGCACGAUCCCCCUCCAUAACACCAGUGCCGUGGCACCACAAAUUCAUGCCACGGCGCGAAUCAGGAUUUGUUCGAAUUGAAGAAGAAGAGGUUAGGGUUUGGCGAUUUGGGGAAUUUUGUAAUUGGGAGUUUAAUCUUCAAUCAAAGCCUUGCAAUCCAUUAAUACUAAGUAGGUAAGGCUUUUUCAUCCAAAGUUGCAGUGUUUGUUGUUUGCACAUAUUACCGAAAAAAUUGAAUUGGAGUGCAUUAGGAAUUGAAAUUUUGUGUGAAUAGUACAGUAUAUUGAUUUUGUGUUGUGAUUGUGUUUGAUGGCAUUAUGUUUGGGUGAUUGAGAUUAUGAGUAAUGUUGGGUGAGUGUUGAGGUUGUUUUGAGAUCGGAUUUGAUUGACAUUGUCAAGUAGAGUGCACGGUGGGAGUGUGUGUGUAGUGUUGAAGGAAAAUUAGGGUGUCUUUGUUGGAUUAUUUAGUGUUGUAUUGUGUGUUGUAGCCGAUAUUGGUUGUAGUGUUAGUCUUGUGGUUGUGUAGUGAAAGUGUGCAUAAGGUUGAAUUGGGGUAAAGUGUUGUUUACAACAACUCUUCUUGUGUUGUAAUAUGGCACCCACCAAGAGACCUAGAGACAUCGAGGCUGCUGCUAAGGGAAAAAAGAAAGCAGCCGCACGACCAAGUUAUGUGAGCUUUGUAAAUCCGGCAGCAGAGAAGAGGUAUAUUGAGACUGUGACUGACAGUCAUGGGUUUGUAGACGAAAAAGGGUUUGAUUUUGAGAAUGAGGAGCUAGGGGUUACUAAUGUGAUCAGAGAGAUGAAACGGGAGAAAUUAUGUUCUCACCCCUAGCUUGCCAUUGAACCUUUGGUAAUGGAAUUCUACGCUAACGCAUAUGAAAGCAACAACAGGAAGAUUAGGAUUAGAGGAGUGGAGGUUAGUUUUGAUACAACAACAAUUACUCGAUUUUAUGGCCUCCCCAAUAUUCUAGUGGCAGAGGAUGAACUAAAUACAUUCUUCAAGGACCCAGAUUAUGGAUUGGUUUUACAGACUUUAACUGUCGGUCAAGGAUUAUGGAUUGGUUUUACAGACUUUAACUGUCGGUCAAGGUGAAUGGAAAAUGUCUAAGGAAAAUUACAAAGGCAUUCUAGCAAAAUUCUUGACACCCCUGCAUCGAUUGUGGCAGUAGUUUGUGUGCACCUCGAUUUUCCCCACUAUUCAUCAUAGCACAGUAGACACAGAUAGGGCACUAUUGCUUUAUGGUAUUGCUAAGUGGAUGCAGGUAGAUGUGGGCAAUCUUAUUUAUUAUCGGAUUCUGCAUGUAGCAAGGAAUCCAUCAAUGUCUUACUUGUUCCCUAACUUGAUCACUACCUUAUGCAAGCAAGCUGGAGUGCCAACAAGGGCCGAUGAAGUCCAAAGAAAGCUAUGAUCCCCAUUGAAUUAUGCCUUUUAUCUGAAGUUGCAUGGUCGAAAUGCGGGAGUAGUUUAGAAUCUCCGACUAAGGCCUAUUAAGAGCACUUCAUGUCCAUCCACUUCUCCGCCCCCAUUCGUGUCAAAUCCAUUGUAGAGUAUGAAAGAUCAACUGACCCGAGUGAGUGAUAAGUUGUCCCGGAUGCGGGCAUGGCAAAGUUAGGCCACCAAUCAGGUGACUUAUUAGACAGAGUGUUGGCAAACUAUGCAGCGGAUUCAGCACUUCCACCUUACUCAGGCUGGGGUCGACAAUACUCAACCUCAGUUUCAGUUUCUGAUGUAUCCCGAGGGUUUUGAGCCUGAUGUGCCAGAUUAUAUGCCCGAUGAGGAGUGAGAUGAGGAGAGUGCAAGAUCUGAGGGAUGUGGGCUGUUGUUAUUUCAUUUGUUUUUGUCUUUCAUAUGUGGUGUGCAUGUUUUUAUUUUGUUGAUGACAUUUGCCGUAUUUUCAUUUUAAUUUUCUAAUUGAUUAAGUGUAGAUACUUCUCAAGUAUGUGUGGUUGUAUUUUUUAUUUUGUUGUUUAUUUCUUCUCAAACUCAUGAUCUUUAACACGAAUAUGGUUUCUACUUCAA